AUUGAACGCUGGCGGCAUGCUUUACACAUGCAAGUCGAACGGUAACAGGGUGCUUGCACCGCUGACGAGUGGCGAACGGGUGAGUAAUGCGUCGGAACGUGCCGAGUAGUGGGGGAUAACGCAGCGAAAGUUGUGCUAAUACCGCAUACGUACUGAGGUAGAAAGUGGGGGACCUUCGGGCCUCACGCUAUUCGAGCGGCCGACGUCUGAUUAGCUAGUAGGUGAGGUAAAGGCUCACCUAGGCGACGAUCAGUAGCGGGGCUGAGAGGAUGAUCCGCCACACUGGGACAGAGACACGGCCCAGACUCCUACGGGAGGCAGCAGUGGGGAAUUUUGGACAAUGGGCGAAAGCCUGAUCCAGCCAUGCCGCGUGUCUGAAGAAGGCCUUCGGGUUGUAAAGGACUUUUGUCAGGGAGGAAAUCCCUAGUGCUAAUAACACUGGGGGAUGACAGUACCCGAAGAAUAAGCACCGGCUAACUACGUGCCAGCCGCCGCAGUAA
Molecule: ribosomal RNA, 500 nt
Filed under: uncultured bacterium
Lineage: Bacteria
Description: partial 16S ribosomal RNA
Rfam family: Bacterial small subunit ribosomal RNA
Source: RNAcentral